UGAGGCAGGAGAAUUGCUUGAACCCAGGAGGUGGAGGUUGCAGUGAGCCGAGAUCGUGCCACUGCACUCCAGCCUGGGUGACAGAGUGAGACUCCGUCUCA
This 101-nucleotide microRNA precursor is filed under the name Chlorocebus sabaeus (green monkey). Its description in RNAcentral is "miRNA (ENSCSAG00000023159.1)". Lineage: Eukaryota; Metazoa; Chordata; Mammalia; Primates; Cercopithecidae. The record is from RNAcentral.